Molecule: ribosomal RNA, 249 nt
Filed under: uncultured bacterium
Lineage: Bacteria
Description: partial small subunit ribosomal RNA
Rfam family: Bacterial small subunit ribosomal RNA
Source: RNAcentral
AGGAUGAACGCUAGCGGCAGGCCUAAUACAUGCAAGUCGAACGGUGGUAGCAAUACCAUAGUGGCGCACGGGUGCGUAACGCGUAGCCAACCUACCCACAUCUGGGGGAUAGCCCGCCGAAAGGCGGAUUAAUACCGCAUAAGACAGCGGAGCGGCAUCGCUUGGUUGUUAAAGAUUUAUUGGAUGUGGAUGGGGCUGCGUGCCAUUAGCUAGUUGGGGGGGUAACGCCCACCAAGGCGACGAUGGCUA